Molecule: ribosomal RNA, 2004 nt
Filed under: human gut metagenome
Description: bacterial LSU rRNA
Rfam family: Bacterial large subunit ribosomal RNA
Source: RNAcentral
AAAAGUAAGUAAGGGCACAUGGCGGAUGCCUUGGCUCUCGGAGGCGAUGAAGGACGUGAUAAGCUGCGAUAAGCUGCGGGUAGGUGCAAAUGACCUUUGAUCCGCGGAUUUCCGAAUGGGACAACCCAAUAUCUUGAAGAGAUAUUAUCCAUCUUACGAUGGAGGCGAACGCAGGGAACUGAAACAUCUUAGUACCUGUAGGAAUAGAAAAUAAAUAAUGAUUCCCCAAGUAGUGGCGAGCGAACGGGGAAUAGCCCAAACCAUAUGUGUUACGGCAUGUAUGGGGUUGUAGGACCACGUUGUGGGACGAAAGUUAGUGAGUAGAAUGAUCUGGAAAGUUCAGUCAUAGACGGUGAUAACCCGGUAUACUAAGCUAAUUGAACCCUAGUGGUAUCCUGAGUAGCGCGGGACACGAGGAAUCUUGCGUGAAUCUGCCGGGACCAUCCGGUAAGGCUAAAUACUCCCGAGAGACCGAUAGCGAACCAGUACUGUGAAGGAAAGGUGAAAAGCACUUCGAAUAGAAGAGUGAAAUAGUCCCUGAAACCGUGCGCCUACAAGCGGUCGGAGCUGCUUAAGCAGUGACGGCGUGCCUUUUGCAUAAUGAACCUACGAGUUACUUUUUCCGGCAAGGUUAAGGAUCUUGAGAUCUGCAGCCGAAGCGAAAGCGAGUCUUAAUAGGGCGGAUAGUCGGAAGGAGUAGACGCGAAACCAAGUGAUCUACCCUUGGCCAGGUUGAAGGACAGGUAACACUGUCUGGAGGACCGAACCGAUAAGCGUUGAAAAGCUUCCGGAUGAGCUGAGGGUGGGGGUGAAAGGCUAAUCAAACUUGGAGAUAGCUCGUACUCCCCGAAAUGCAUUUAGGUGCAGCCUUGAUUUAUACUAAUAUGAGGUAGAGCGACUGAUAAGAUGCGAGGGCUUCACCGCCUAUCAAGUCUUGACAAACUCCGAAUGCGUGUCAGUUCUAUGUCAGGAGUGAGGGCAUGGGUGCUAAGGUCCAUGUCCUAAAGGAGAACAAUCCGGACCAACAGCUAAGGUCCCGAAAUGAAUACUAAGUUGAACUAACGAAGUCAGAUUGCUAAGACAGCUAGGAUGUUGGCUUGGAAGCAGCCAUUCAUUUAAAGAGUGCGUAACAGCUCACUAGUCGAGGAGUUUGGCGUGGAUAAUAAUCGGGCAUAAGUAUUCUACCGAAGCUUUGGGAUGAGAAAUCAUCGGUAGGGGAGCAUUCCACUCUGCGUCGAAGGUAAGGCGUGAGCCUUGCUGGAGCGUGUGGAAAAGCAAAUGUAGGUAUAAGUAACGAUAAAGGGGGUGGGAAACCCCCUCGCCGAAAGACUAAGGUUUCCUGAUCAACGCUAAUCGGAUCAGGGUAAGUCGGGUCCUAAGGCUCAGCCGAACGGCGAGGCCGAUGGCAGAACCGGUUAAUAUUCCGGUACUACCUUAAGGAGUGACGUGGAGACGGAGUCGUGACAGCGCCGCGGACUGACGGAAUAGUCCGUUGAAGGGUGUAGAUGUUGAUUGUUCCAGGCAAAUCCGGAACGAGAGUCGAACCUGACAGUAUGGAGCGUCCUUCUGGACAAUCCAAUAGUGCGUGUAAUCAUACUUCCAAGAAAAUCCGCUAAACUUAAUCCUUACGGUACCCGUACCGCAAACGGACACACGUAGUCGGGUUGAAUAUACUAAGGCGCUUGAGUGAUUCACGGUUAAGGAACUAGGCAAACUGACCCUGUAACUUCGGGAUAAAGGGUCCUCAAGCAAUUGAGGCGCAGAGAAUAGGUCCAGGCAACUGUUUAACAAAAACACAGGGCUGUGCAAAAUUGAAAGAUGAAGUAUACAGCCUGACACCUGCCCGGUGCUGGAAGGUUAAGAGGAGACGUCAUCGCAAGAGAAGCGUUGAAUUGAAGCCCCAGUAAACGGCGGCCGUAACUAUAACGGUCCUAAGGUAGCGAAAUUCCUUGUCGGGUAAGUUCCGACCUGCACGAAUGGUGUAAUGAUCUGGACGCUGUCUCA